This 267-nucleotide unclassified non-coding RNA is filed under the name fungal sp. Its description in RNAcentral is "partial internal transcribed spacer region". The stretch from base 1 to 46 matches the Rfam family "Eukaryotic small subunit ribosomal RNA", at positions 1786 to 1831 of the family's 1831-position model. The record is from RNAcentral. Lineage: Eukaryota; Fungi.
AAGUCGUAACAAGGUUUCCGUAGGUGAACCUGCGGAAGGAUCAUUACCAAAUCCAAAUUACCCAACCCCAUGUGAACUAUUGUUUGUUGUCCUUGGGGGAGAGGAAGAAAAGAAAGUAAUAUUUUUUGGAUUCCUUUCCCCCAAAAGAAUCCGGCACUUCGGUGCUCUGUGAUUCUUGAUAAACUACAGAUUUCUUUUGUUUUGGAAUGACAUUUUUUAUUAAAAUUAAUAAAAGACAACUUUUAACGGUGGAUCUCUUGGCUCGUG